This 497-nucleotide ribosomal RNA is filed under the name uncultured bacterium. RNAcentral describes it as "partial 16S ribosomal RNA". It matches the Rfam family "Bacterial small subunit ribosomal RNA", at positions 28 to 507 of the family's 1533-position model. The record is from RNAcentral.
GAUGAACGCUGGCGGCGUGCCUAAUACAUGCAAGUCGAGCGAACGGACGAGAAGCUUGCUUCUCUGAUGUUAGCGGCGGACGGGUGAGUAACACGUGGAUAACCUACCUAUAAGACUGGGAUAACUUCGGGAAACCGGAGCUAAUACCGGAUAAUAUUUUGAACCGCAUGGUUCAAAAGUGAAAGACGGUCUUUCUGUCACUUAUAGAUGGAUCCGCGCUGCAUUAGCUAGUUGGUAAGGUAACGGCUUACCAAGGCAACGAUGCAUAGCCGACCUGAGAGGGUGAUCAGCCACACUGGAACUGAGACACGGUCCAGACUCCUACGGAAGGCAGCAGUAGGGAAUCUUCCGCAAUGGGCGAAAGCCUGACGGAACAACGCCGCGUGAGUGAUGAAGGUCUUCGGAUCGUAAAACUCUGUUAUUAGGGAAGAACAUAUGUGUAAGUAACUGUGCACAUCUUGACGGUACCUAAUCAGAAAGCCACGGCUAACUACGUG